Molecule: ribosomal RNA, 481 nt
Filed under: uncultured Pseudoxanthomonas sp.
Lineage: Bacteria; Pseudomonadati; Pseudomonadota; Gammaproteobacteria; Lysobacterales; Lysobacteraceae
Description: bacterial SSU rRNA
Rfam family: Bacterial small subunit ribosomal RNA
Source: RNAcentral
CGGGCCCGCAAGGUGCCGACGAGUGGCGGACGGGUGAGGAAUACAUCGGAAUCUGCCCGGUCGUGGGGGAUAACGUAGGGAAACUUAGGCGGAUACCGCAUGAGACCGAGAGGUGAGAGCGGGGGAUCGCAAGACCUCGCGCGAUUGGAUGAGCCGAUGUCGGAUUAGCUAGUUGGUGGGGUAAAGGCCUACCAAGGCGACGAUCCGUAGCUGGUCUGAGAGGAUGAUCAGCCACACUGGGACUGAGACACGGCCCAGACUCCUACGGGAGGCAGCAGUGGGGAAUAUUGGACAAUGGGGGCAAGCCUGAUCCAGCAAUGCCGCGUGUGUGAAGAAGGACUUCGGGUUGUAAAGCACUUUUAUCGGGAACGAAACAUUGUCGGUGAAUAUCCGGCAAGACUGACGGUACCCGAGGAAUAAGCACCGGCUAACUUCGUGCCAGCAGCCGCGGUAAUAGGAAGGGUGCAAGCGUUACUCGGAA